GAGACCAGGUGCCAAUAAUGAAGACUUUCCUGUUUCUUGCUUUAUUGUUGUGUAUCUGGGGAACUGCCCAAGUUGAGGCACGUGGCCUCCCUGAAGUGAAUGAUGACGCUCCAAUUCGAAUCGCUCGAUCAGCUGCAGGCCUUUUAACGAAGAGAGGGGGAUGUUGUGACUAUAGAUGUCGACCCGUGCCGUGCAGUUGCUGUUAUGCAUGAUGUCUUCGAAUAUCAAAAAUACAUUUUUUUUUCAUGUAUUUGAUCUGAAUUGAAUAAAGAAUCGAAAUGCAA
Long non-coding RNA from Saccostrea cuccullata (small rock oyster), 284 nucleotides. RefSeq lists it as uncharacterized. The transcript has 6 exons. Lineage: Eukaryota; Metazoa; Mollusca; Bivalvia; Ostreida; Ostreidae. The record is from RefSeq and is a predicted model, not a curated record.